Molecule: ribosomal RNA, 301 nt
Filed under: uncultured bacterium
Lineage: Bacteria
Description: partial 16S ribosomal RNA
Rfam family: Bacterial small subunit ribosomal RNA
Source: RNAcentral
CAGUCGCCGCGGUAAUACGAAGGGUGCAAGCGUUACUCGGAAUUACUGGGCGUAAAGCGUGCGUAGGUGGUGGUUUAAGUCCGUUGUGAAAGCCCUGGGCUCAACCUGGGAAUUGCAGUGGAUACUGGGUCACUAGAGUGUGGUAGAGGAUAGUGGAAUUUCCGGUGUAGCAGUGAAAUGCGUAGAGAUCAGAAGGAACAUCUGUGGCGAAGGCGACUAUCUGGGCCAACACUGACACUGAGGCACGAAAGCGUGGGGAGCAAACAGGAUUAGAGACCCCUGUAGUCCCUGUCUCUUAUAC